GGGAAAGGGACUAGGUUUACAGCCAAUUUGCGCAAGUCGGAGUUCAAUUGACCGGGGAAACGGAGACAACAAGUGACACCACUCAUGGUCGCCGAGAUGAGAUGAUUUAAAUCACCAACUGUCACAACGAAACCACUGAGUUCGGAAACAAAUGUCAUAGAGCGCUUCAUUGUCCAGACACAUGCAUUCAUCGGCGUUUUCCACGAGCUGAUGCACGGAGAGGGUGGCAUUGUAAGGCUCCACAACAGUAUCCGACACCUUCGGCGACGGCACAAUGCUGAAGGUUACCAUCAUUCGAUCAGGAUACUCCUCCCUAAUCUUGGAUAUCAACAAAGUGCCCAUUCCAGACCCUGUGCCGCCUCCCAUUGAAUGACAUACUUGAAAACCUGUCUUCACCAAGGAUGGAACAAUUUAAGCCGAAGCUAAACCUCUCACACACUGCAAAGCUGUUCGACUGCAGAAACCAACACCUCCAAAGGACUCGACAGGUGGCUUGGGAGAGCAAGAAUAUCUUCCAAACGCGGUACCAUAUUCAAGACAUGCAACACCCUUUGAGAUUCAGAGGCUGACGGAGUCGACCUUGCAAGCAAUCACAGCUUUCUGCUUCUUUACGAACUACGUCCAGAACGGAGUCGAUGAGUUCUGCACCCUCGGUGUAAUGUCCUUUCGCCCAGUUAUUCCCGGCGCCUGUCUGUCCGAACACGAAAUUGUCAGGUCUGAAUAUCUGGCCAUAUGGGCCAGACCGAACACUGUCCAUGGUGCCGGGCUCCAGAUCCAUCAGCACAGCUCGGGGGACGUAACGGCCUCCACUUGCUUCGUUGAAGUAAACGUUGACCCGUUCGAGUUGUAAGUCGGAGUCUCCAUGAUAAGUUCCAGUUGGGUCAAUCCCAUGUUCGUCACAGAUUACCUACAUAGCAUCCAGAGUUUUGUAGUCAAUGUCAGCCACAAUGUAUCAUGCUUCUCCGGCAACAGGACCCUUUGCAUCAAGCCGGAGCGUCAAGUUUAUUUGUGUGUUAAUUUCAGCAGGUUGAAUGAGGCCUUAUUUCUGAUCACGAAGCCUUCCUGUGUUUAUUCCUGUUGUAAGAGAACUGGAGAAGCAAACACUGCAAAACUUUCUAGUUACCGAGUGAUCGUUCCCUACGGAUCAACCGAUCUGAGUCAAGAUUGUCCACGUCGGUAAUUGACGCAAUAUAUGCUUUGGUUUGUCAAGCUGCGUAAUUAGCAGCAAUAAAUGACACUAACCAAAAAUACUUAUUCCAA
Physcomitrium patens is the source of this 1260-nucleotide non-coding RNA. NCBI's taxonomy places the organism in Eukaryota, Viridiplantae, Streptophyta, Bryopsida, Funariales, Funariaceae. The record is from RefSeq and is a predicted model, not a curated record.